UACGUAGGGGGCAAGCGUUGUCCGGAUUUAUUGGGCGUAAAGAGCGUGUAGGCGGUUAGGUAGGUCCGUUGUGAAAACUCGAGGCUCAACCUCGAGACGCCGAUGGAAACCAUCUAACUAGAGUCCGGAAGAGGAGAGUGGAAUUCCUGGUGUAGCGGUGAAAUGCGCAGAUAUCAGGAGGAACACCAAUGGCGAAGGCAGCUCGCUGGGACGGUACUGACGCUGAGACGCGAAAGCGUGGGGAGCAAACAGG
This 253-nucleotide ribosomal RNA is filed under the name uncultured bacterium. Its description in RNAcentral is "partial 16S ribosomal RNA". It matches the Rfam family "Bacterial small subunit ribosomal RNA", at positions 524 to 776 of the family's 1533-position model. The record is from RNAcentral.